RNAcentral lists this long non-coding RNA (260 nucleotides) under Olea europaea (common olive). RNAcentral's name for it is "long non-coding RNA (OEUR_LNC010343)". The record is from RNAcentral. Lineage: Eukaryota; Viridiplantae; Streptophyta; Magnoliopsida; Lamiales; Oleaceae.
AGGGAAUGAAGGUGUGGUGGUUGCGACAGUGAAGUGCUACUGAGAUACUGUGGGUGCGGUGGUUGGAUGAGUGGUGUGGUUGUGGUGAUGUGGCAUGAUGGUUUCUUCUUGCCUAUUCUGUGAAGGAACGUUUGGGUGUGGUGGUGGUUGCAAAUGGUGGACGAGGUGAUGGCAGUGAUUGUGGAGGCGACGGUGAUGACAAAAAAUGAUGGCGUUUUGCAUCUGAUUUGUUGGUGGAAAGCUAGUGGUGGUGACGACGC